GCGUGCGCGGCGUCGCCGGGCUUGCGAUGAACUUGCGGCUGUCAAGCUCCCGGCCGGGCUGACUCAAGCGGAGGCGCGCGGAACAGUCGCCGAGGCGAUUCCCGCCCAGGUUGUUCCAAGUUGUUGGGAAAACAGACGACACACUUGCCCUGCUCAACCUGGCCUGCAUGAUGACCAUCACCUUCCUGCCUUACACGUUUUCGUUAAUGGUGACCUUCCCUGAUGUGCCUCUGGGCAUCUUCUUGUUCUGUGUGUGUGUGAUCGCCAUCGGGGUCGUGCAGGUCACACAGGUAGGGUUCCUGAGGCCACCUACACACAUAGGAUGUGGCAUGCCCAGAGUCCCCGCUUUCUGACCAGAGACUGGGAAGAGUGGGCCCUGAGACCCCCCACAUGCGGCCCCAGGAGCCAGCAGGGGCUCCUGUUCUCUCUCCACCUCAGCCCGUGCCCAAAGCGUCCCAGGUACAAGCCCACCUCUACCCGCCAGGUCCUCCCCACCUCGAGACCCCUGC
RNAcentral lists this long non-coding RNA (509 nucleotides) under Pan troglodytes (chimpanzee). RNAcentral's name for it is "long non-coding RNA NONPTRT012333". Lineage: Eukaryota; Metazoa; Chordata; Mammalia; Primates; Hominidae. The record is from RNAcentral.